Molecule: transfer RNA, 72 nt
Filed under: Fowleria marmorata (marbled cardinalfish)
Lineage: Eukaryota; Metazoa; Chordata; Actinopteri; Kurtiformes; Apogonidae
Also listed under: 1 other name
Description: tRNA-Val
Rfam family: tRNA
About the family: Transfer RNA (tRNA) molecules are approximately 80 nucleotides in length.
Source: RNAcentral
CAGGACAUAGCUAAGACAGUACAGCAUCUCCCUUACACCGAGAAGACAUUCGUGCAAAUCGAAUUGUUCUGA